UGAACGCUGGCGGCAGGCCUACCACAUGCACGUCGCACGGUAACAGGCAGAAGCUUGCUUCUUUGCUGACGAGUGGCGGACGGGUGAGUAAUGUCUGGGAAACUGCCUGAUGGAGGGGGCUAACUACUGGAAACGGUAGCUAAUACCGCAUAACGUCGCAAGACCACAGAGGGGGACCUUCGGGCCUCUUGCCAUCGUAUGUGCCCAGAUGGGAUUAGCUAGUAGGUGGGGUAACGGCUCACCUAGGCGACGAUCCCUAGCUGGUCUGAGAGGAUGACCAGCCACACUGGAACUGAGACACGGUCCAGACUCCUACGGGAGGCAGCAGUGGGGAAUAUUGCACAAUGGGCGCAAGCCUGAUGCAGCCAUGCCGCGUGUAUGAAGAAGGCCUUCGGGUUGUAAAGUACUUUCAGCGGGGAGGAAGGGAGUAAAGUUAAUACCUUUGCUCAUUGACGUUACCCGCAGAAGAAGCACCGGCUAACUCCGUG
This 488-nucleotide ribosomal RNA is filed under the name uncultured bacterium. Its description in RNAcentral is "partial 16S ribosomal RNA". It matches the Rfam family "Bacterial small subunit ribosomal RNA", at positions 30 to 507 of the family's 1533-position model. The record is from RNAcentral.